UCGCAGAUAAAUCAGGGAAAGGAGAUCCUGCAGCCUCAUCUUUCCUUCCUGAGAGCAUCUCCCCGGGACUUAUGUUGGGAAGGGCAUUCCAGAAACCCUGUCAGCACCAACUGCUGAAAUCGUAUCAGCUUGCCACUGAUGGAAAGGAAAGAAAAACACUGGCUCAUCACAAAAGAUAAUGGGAGGCACUGAAAUACACAAUAAAGAAAU
Non-coding RNA from Kogia breviceps (pygmy sperm whale), 210 nucleotides. Lineage: Eukaryota; Metazoa; Chordata; Mammalia; Artiodactyla; Physeteridae. The record is from RefSeq and is a predicted model, not a curated record.